CCUUUGUACACACCGCCCGUCGCUACUACCGAUUGAAUGGCUUAGUGAGGUCUCUGGAUUGACGCUGAGGAGCCGGCAACGGCACCUCGUUGUUGAGAAGUUGAUCAAACUUGGUCAUUUAGAGG
Molecule: ribosomal RNA, 125 nt
Filed under: Sistotrema sp.
Lineage: Eukaryota; Fungi; Basidiomycota; Agaricomycetes; Cantharellales; Hydnaceae
Description: partial small subunit ribosomal RNA
Rfam family: Eukaryotic small subunit ribosomal RNA
Source: RNAcentral